This 500-nucleotide ribosomal RNA is filed under the name uncultured bacterium. RNAcentral's name for it is "partial 16S ribosomal RNA". It matches the Rfam family "Bacterial small subunit ribosomal RNA", at positions 30 to 523 of the family's 1533-position model. The record is from RNAcentral.
AUUGAACGCUGGCGGCAUGCCUUACACAUGCAAGUCGAACGGCAGCACGGGAGCAAUCCUGGUGGCGAGUGGCGAACGGGUGAGUAAAGUAUCGGAACGUGCCCAGUCGUGGGGGAUAACGUAGCGAAAGUUACGCUAAUACCGCAUACGAUCUAUGGAUGAAAGCGGGGGAUCGCAAGACCUCGCGCGAUUGGAGCGGCCGAUAUCAGAUUAGGUAGUUGGUGGGGUGAAGGCCCACCAAGCCGACGAUCUGUAGCUGGUCUGAGAGGACGACCAGCCACACUGGGACUGAGACAGGGCCCAGACUCCUACGGGAGGAAGCAGUGGGGAAUUUUGGACAAUGGGCGAAAGCCUGAUCCAGCCAUGCGGCGUGCAGGAUGAAGGCCUUCGGGUUGUAAACUGCUUUUGUACGGAACGAAAAGGUUUGGCCUAAUAAGCUGAGCUCAUGACAGUACCGUAAGAAUAAGCACCGGCUAACUACGUGCCAGCAGCCGCCGUAA